Molecule: ribosomal RNA, 244 nt
Filed under: uncultured bacterium
Lineage: Bacteria
Description: partial 16S ribosomal RNA
Rfam family: Bacterial small subunit ribosomal RNA
Source: RNAcentral
UCGAACGGAUCCUUCGGGAUUAGUGGCGGACGGGUGAGUAACACGUGGGAACGUGCCCUUUGGUUCGGAACAACUCAGGGAAACUUGAGCUAAUACCGGAUGUGCCCUUCGGGGGAAAGAUUUAUCGCCAUUAGAGCGGCCCGCGUCUGAUUAGCUAGUUGGUGGGGUAAAGGCCCACCAAGGCGACGAUCAGUAGCUGGUCUGAGAGGAUGAUCAGCCACAUUGGGACUGAGACACGGCCCAA